RNAcentral lists this ribosomal RNA (406 nucleotides) under uncultured bacterium. RNAcentral's name for it is "partial 16S ribosomal RNA". It matches the Rfam family "Bacterial small subunit ribosomal RNA", at positions 30 to 526 of the family's 1533-position model. The record is from RNAcentral.
AUUGAACGCUGGCGGCAGGCCUAACACAUGCAAGUCGAACGAGUGGCGGACCGGUGAGUAAUGUCUGGGAAACUGCCUGAUGGUGGGGGAUAACUCCUGGAAACUGUAGCUAAUACCGCAUACCAUCGGAUGUGCCCAGAUGGGAUUAGCUAGUAGGUGGGGUAAAGGCUCACCUAGGCGACGCUCCCUAGCUGGUCUGAGAGGACGACCAGCCACACUGGAACUAAGACACGGUCCAGACGCCUACGGGAGGCAGCAGUGGGGAAUAUUGCACAAUGGGCGAAAGCCUGAUGCAGCCAUGCCGCGUGUAUGAAGAAGGCCUUCGGGUUGUAAAGUACUUUCAGCGGGGAGGCGUUAACCGAAGAAGAAGCACCGGCUAACUCCGUGCCAGCAGCCGCGGUAAUUC